UACGACUACAUAUCAGGCAUAUCAAUAAGCGGAGGAAAAGAAACUAACUAGGAUUCCCUUAGUAACGGCGAGUGAAGCGGGAAGAGCUCAAAUUUGAAAUCUUCAAGGUUCUACCUUGACGAAUUGUAGUUUAAAGAAGUGUUUUCUGUUAGAUGAGUAGCAAAAGUUCCUUGGAAUGGGACAUCAUAGAGGGUGAGAAUCCCGUAUUUGGUUAUUCAUUCUAGCUUUGUGAUACACUUUCAAAGAGUCGGAUUGUUUGGGAAUGCAGUCCAAAAUGGGUGGUAAAUUUCAUCUAAAGCUAAAUAUUGGCGAGAGACCGAUAGCGAACAAGUACCGUGAGGGAAAGAUGAAAAGAACUUUGAAAAGAGAGUUAAACAGUACGUGAAAUUGUCAAAAGGGAAGCGUUUGACACCAGUGUUGUUUUUCCGAAAAUCAAUUACGAAUGGCUUGAUUUUGUGUUGUAUUGACCUUAUCAGCUUUCUUCACUUUUUUCGAGUCUUUCUUAAUGCACUUUUCGGUUAACAAGUCAACAUCAAUUUCUUUUGUUGUAAAAGAGUAUUCGGAAGGUGGCUUUCUUUUCGGAGAAAGUGUUUAUAGCCCUAUACUUCUACAAUCGGAGAGAUUGAGGUCUGCAGCGUAGAUCCUUCGGGGUUAGAUACAUUUGUGCUAAGUUGUAGCUUUUCAUAGACAACUUGUUGACUAUGUUUAGUCAUGCGGCUUACUCGCUUAUGCUAUUUUACCUACGCUUAGGAUGUUGAGUAGCGACAUACGCAC
This 774-nucleotide ribosomal RNA is filed under the name uncultured Neocallimastigales. RNAcentral's name for it is "partial large subunit ribosomal RNA". It matches the Rfam family "Eukaryotic large subunit ribosomal RNA", at positions 24 to 649 of the family's 3401-position model. Lineage: Eukaryota; Fungi; Neocallimastigomycota; Neocallimastigomycetes; Neocallimastigales. The record is from RNAcentral.